AUAGGUGUCCCGGUGCGGAAGCCAUGCUCUGGCUUAAAAUCCCUCGGGGGUAACCCCGUGCCGGUUCGACCCCGGCUCCGGGCACCA
Molecule: transfer RNA, 87 nt
Filed under: Pseudomonas aeruginosa
Lineage: Bacteria; Pseudomonadati; Pseudomonadota; Gammaproteobacteria; Pseudomonadales; Pseudomonadaceae
Also listed under: 2 other names
Description: tRNA-Xxx
Source: RNAcentral